Molecule: ribosomal RNA, 253 nt
Filed under: uncultured bacterium
Lineage: Bacteria
Description: partial 16S ribosomal RNA
Rfam family: Bacterial small subunit ribosomal RNA
Source: RNAcentral
UACGGGGGGGGCAAGCGUUGUUCGGAAUUACUGGGCGUAAAGGGCUCGUAGGCGGCCAACUAAGUCAGACGUGAAAUCCCUCGGCUUAACCGGGGAACUGCAUCUGAUACUGGAUGGCUUGAGUUCGGGAGAGGGAUGCGGAAUUCCAGGUGUAGCGGUGAAAUGCGUAGAUAUCUGGGGGAACACCGGUGGCGAAGGCGGCAUCCUGGACCGACACUGACGCUGAGGAGCGAAAGCCAGGGGAGCAAACGGG